This 484-nucleotide ribosomal RNA is filed under the name uncultured bacterium. Its description in RNAcentral is "partial 16S ribosomal RNA". It matches the Rfam family "Bacterial small subunit ribosomal RNA", at positions 30 to 507 of the family's 1533-position model. The record is from RNAcentral.
AUUGAACGCUGGCGGCAGGCCUAACACAUGCAAGUCGAGCGGAUGAAGGGAGCUUGCUCCUGGAUUCAGCGGCGGACGGGUGAGUAAUGCCUAGGAAUCUGCCUGGUAGUGGGGGAUAACGUCCGGAAACGGGCGCUAAUACCGCAUACGUCCUGAGGGAGAAAGUGGGGGAUCUUCGGACCUCACGCUAUCAGAUGAGCCUAGGUCGGAUUAGCUAGUUGGUGGGGUAAAGGCCUACCAAGGCGACGAUCCGUAACUGGUCUGAGAGGAUGAUCAGUCACACUGGAACUGAGACACGGUCCAGACUCCUACGGGAGGCAGCAGUGGGGAAUACUGGACAAUGGGCGAAAGCCUGAUCCAGCCAUGCCGCGUGUGUGAAGAAGGUCUUCGGAUUGUAAAGCACUUUAAGUUGGGAGGAAGGGCAGUAAGUUAAUACCUUGCUGUUUUGACGUUACUAACAGAAUAAGCACCGGCUAACUUCGUG